Molecule: ribosomal RNA, 712 nt
Filed under: Brevundimonas vesicularis
Lineage: Bacteria; Pseudomonadati; Pseudomonadota; Alphaproteobacteria; Caulobacterales; Caulobacteraceae
Description: bacterial SSU rRNA
Rfam family: Bacterial small subunit ribosomal RNA
Source: RNAcentral
UACCGAAUGUGCCCUUCGGGGGAAAGAUUUAUCGCCUUUAGAGCGGCCCGCGUCUGAUUAGCUAGUUGGUGAGGUAAUGGCUCACCAAGGCGACGAUCAGUAGCUGGUCUGAGAGGAUGAUCAGCCACAUUGGGACUGAGACACGGCCCAAACUCCUACGGGAGGCAGCAGUGGGGAAUCUUGCGCAAUGGGCGAAAGCCUGACGCAGCCAUGCCGCGUGAAUGAUGAAGGUCUUAGGAUUGUAAAAUUCUUUCACCGGGGACGAUAAUGACGGUACCCGGAGAAGAAGCCCCGGCUAACUUCGUGCCAGCAGCCGCGGUAAUACGAAGGGGGCUAGCGUUGCUCGGAAUUACUGGGCGUAAAGGGAGCGUAGGCGGACAUUUAAGUCAGGGGUGAAAUCCCGGGGCUCAACCUCGGAAUUGCCUUUGAUACUGGGUGUCUUGAGUAUGAGAGAGGUGUGUGGAACUCCGAGUGUAGAGGUGAAAUUCGUAGAUAUUCGGAAGAACACCAGUGGCGAAGGCGACACACUGGCUCAUUACUGACGCUGAGGCUCGAAAGCGUGGGGAGCAAACAGGAUUAGAUACCCUGGUAGUCCACGCCGUAAACGAUGAUUGCUAGUUGUCGGGAUGCAUGCAUUUCGGUGACGCAGCUAACGCAUUAAGCAAUCCGCCUGGGGGAGUACGGGUCGCCAGGAUUAAAACUCAAAGGAAUU